Rosa rugosa (rugosa rose) is the source of this 1165-nucleotide long non-coding RNA. RefSeq lists it as uncharacterized. The transcript has 2 exons. The record is from RefSeq and is a predicted model, not a curated record. Lineage: Eukaryota; Viridiplantae; Streptophyta; Magnoliopsida; Rosales; Rosaceae.
CGAACCCGAAGCAUAUAUGCAUGUUCAUUCUUAUCGUUGCAGAUAUAUAUAGAUCUACAAGUUCGGCACAAUUAAUCAGUAUGGUGUAAAACAAUCGCUAGCUGGAUGUUGAUUUCGAUCGGUUAUGAAUUGAUGGUGACAUGCAUUGAAUACAACAAUUAAAGAAAGGCUUCGAGCUUAGAUGAAAGUGAUGGAUCGGAGGUGUUUGUUUAUACAGUAAGCUAGCAACAAUGGCCAUGAUGUAGCAUGUGAGCUAACCUAAAUGUCUAGCUCUUUAAUUAGGGCGUGUUUGCUUGUGAUGCAAGAAAUGCUCAUUACCAGUUAUUUUCAGGACGUUAUAGAAGUCAAUCAAUCUGCUUAUUGCUAUAGCAAGUUCUAGAUCGAACUUGAAAUGUAUAGGAUUUUGCUGUCAAUUUUAUUGUUGCUACCAAAUCGUUAUUAUAUAUGAUCUUUGUGAAAAACAGGCUGCUACAAACCAGCUGAUCAACCACAAUGUGGAAAACAAGCAAAUCAUUGAUAAUGCAGUAGCUAGCUAUGACUAUCUGUAGGGAUCGAAGCAAGCCUCAAAUGAACAUCCAUGCCACGAAAACCAACAUCAUGAGCGAAAUUCCCACAUCAGCGGUUGAAGCAGAUAAUGAACCAGAAGCGGAGGAUGGAGUCGUAGUGGCUGGAGAGUCAGUUGUUGGGGAUGUAGUUGCAGAUGUAAAACCAUAAUUACAUGCUCACAAUCAUAUGCACAACAAUCACAAAAGAACUAAAGCUUACCUUCAGCAAUCAUUGUCAUGGAUUCCAUCUUAUGCAGCUGCUAAACACGAUCACUGAAUAUGGUCUUCUGUUACUUAUCAACUUGCUUCUCAAUGGACAGAACUUAUGCAAUAGUCGUUGUAGUAAUCAGGGACCAAUUCAUAUGUAUAUAUAUGAGACUUAAACCUCAAGAAGCUUCCCAUUAAAGCAUUCCUUGUCGGUUUAGGUUUCACUGUUAGAUUCCUAAUGUAUCACAACUUGUAGCCUUUCUUGUAGACUAAGCAAUGGAUUACUAUCCUUAAUGAAUUGAUACACUACUUCAUUAAGUCACUAGUAUCGAUUCACUGUUUGUAUCCAUGUUAAACUAGGAUUGAUAUUAAGCUAAUCAUCAAUUACUUUAUGAUGAUAUGUGUUAUGUCCA